This 1121-nucleotide ribosomal RNA is filed under the name Microbacterium sp. H9. RNAcentral's name for it is "bacterial SSU rRNA". It matches the Rfam family "Bacterial small subunit ribosomal RNA", at positions 68 to 1201 of the family's 1533-position model. Lineage: Bacteria; Bacillati; Actinomycetota; Actinomycetes; Micrococcales; Microbacteriaceae. The record is from RNAcentral.
GUGAAAGGGGAGCUUGCUUCCUGGAUCAGUGGCGAACGGGUGAGUAACACGUGAGCAAUCUGCCCCUGACUCUGGGAUAAGCGCUGGAAACGGCGUCUAAUACUGGAUAUGAGCUGCGACCGCAUGGUCAGCAGUUGGAAAGAAUUUCGGUCAGGGAUGAGCUCGCGGCCUAUCAGCUUGUUGGUGAGGUAAUGGCUCACCAAGGCGUCGACGGGUAGCCGGCCUGAGAGGGUGACCGGCCACACUGGGACUGAGACACGGCCCAGACUCCUACGGGAGGCAGCAGUGGGGAAUAUUGCACAAUGGGCGCAAGCCUGAUGCAGCAACGCCGCGUGAGGGACGACGGCCUUCGGGUUGUAAACCUCUUUUAGCAGGGAAGAAGCGAAAGUGACGGUACCUGCAGAAAAAGCACCGGCUAACUACGUGCCAGCAGCCGCGGUAAUACGUAGGGUGCAAGCGUUAUCCGGAAUUAUUGGGCGUAAAGAGCUCGUAGGCGGUUUGUCGCGUCUGCUGUGAAAUCUGGGGGCUCAACCCCCAGCCUGCAGUGGGUACGGGCAGACUAGAGUGCGGUAGGGGAGAUUGGAAUUCCUGGUGUAGCGGUGGAAUGCGCAGAUAUCAGGAGGAACACCGAUGGCGAAGGCAGAUCUCUGGGCCGUAACUGACGCUGAGGAGCGAAAGGGUGGGGAGCAAACAGGCUUAGAUACCCUGGUAGUCCACCCCGUAAACGUUGGGAACUAGUUGUGGGGUCCAUUCCACGGAUUCCGUGACGCAGCUAACGCAUUAAGUUCCCCGCCUGGGGAGUACGGCCGCAAGGCUAAAACUCAAAGGAAUUGACGGGGACCCGCACAAGCGGCGGAGCAUGCGGAUUAAUUCGAUGCAACGCGAAGAACCUUACCAAGGCUUGACAUAUAGAGGAAACGGCUGGAAACAGUCGCCCCGCAAGGUCUCUAUACAGGUGGUGCAUGGUUGUCGUCAGCUCGUGUCGUGAGAUGUUGGGUUAAGUCCCGCAACGAGCGCAACCCUCGUUCUAUGUUGCCAGCACGUAAUGGUGGGAACUCAUGGGAUACUGCCGGGGUCAACUCGGAGGAAAGGUGGGGGAUGACGUCAAAUCAUCAUGGCCC